CUCUAUUAUCCAUUCCCUGCUUCCGUUCCCAUCGACCAAUAUCUACAACCAUUACACAACCUCGCCACGUGGCAGUCUUCAGACGAGGGUCUUGCAUGUCGAAGUCUGCGGGUCCCACAUCGCUGGCACGAGAUACCUCCUUCCAUUCGCACCAUGCGCAUUGUAACUCGCCCCGGUUGCCUUAUCCACGAGAACCCGACCCGGAUAACCCGGGUACGACCCACUUCCGAAAACACCAGUGCAAGCCGAAACGGCCUCUAACGGCGCCGUUGGGGGACCCUGGAAGUAACCGUUGUUGAAAGGGUUGGUAACUGUGCCAGCGAGAAGCGUGGCCAAGUUAAUAACCAUUCCGUCAACCCCGGCGUCGCCGUUAGGAGAAACUAACGGCGGCGUCUGGGGCCCGUAAAUCGGUUGGUGGAAUGGCCACGCGCAUUGCCCGGGGCACUGUGUUUCGGAGUUUCCAACCCAGA
RNAcentral lists this long non-coding RNA (470 nucleotides) under Glycine max (soybean). RNAcentral describes it as "long non-coding RNA (GMAX_LNC001664)". Lineage: Eukaryota; Viridiplantae; Streptophyta; Magnoliopsida; Fabales; Fabaceae. The record is from RNAcentral.